CAGCCGCCGCGGGAAUACGGAGGGUGCAAGCGUUAAUCGGAAUUACUGGGCGUAAAGCGCACGCAGGCGGUCUGACAAGUCAGAUGUGAAAUCCCCGGGCUUAACCUGGGAACUGCAUUUGAAACUGUCAGGCUGGAGUCUUGUAGAGGGGGGUGGAAUUCCAGGUGUAGCGGUGAAAUGCGUAGAGAUCUGGAGGAAUACCGGUGGCGAAGGCGGCCCCCUGGACAAAGACUGACGCUCAGGUGCGAAAGCGUGGGGAGCAAACAGGAUUAGAUACCCGUGUAGUCCCUGUCUCUUAUAA
Molecule: ribosomal RNA, 301 nt
Filed under: uncultured bacterium
Lineage: Bacteria
Description: partial 16S ribosomal RNA
Rfam family: Bacterial small subunit ribosomal RNA
Source: RNAcentral